UGUGACCUCAAAUCAGGUAGGACUACCCGCUGAACUUAAGCAUAUCAAUAAGCGGAGGAAAAGAAACUAACAAGGAUUCCCCUAGUAACUGCGAGUGAAGCGGGAAAAGCUCAAAUUUAAAAUCUGGCGGUCUUUUGGCUGUCCGAGUUGUAAUCUAGAGAAGUGUUAUCCGCGCUGGACCGUGUACAAGUCUCCUGGAAUGGAGCAUCAUAGAGGGUGAGAAUCCCGUCUUUGACAUGGACUGCCAGGGCUUUUGUGAUGCGCUCUCAAAGAGUCGAGUUGUUUGGGAAUGCAGCUCAAAAUGGGUGGUAAAUUCCAUCUAAAGCUAAAUAUUGGCGAGAGACCGAUAGCGAACAAGUACCGUGAGGGAAAGAUGAAAAGAACUUUGGAAAGAGAGUUAAACAGUACGUGAAAUUGCUGAAAGGGAAACGCUUGAAGUCAGUCGCGUCGUCCAGGGAUCAACCUUGCUUUUGCUUGGUGCACUUUCUGGUUUGACGGGUCAGCAUCAAUUUUGAUCAUUGGAAAAAGGUCAAGGGAAUGUGGCAUCUUUGGAUGUGUUUAUAGCCCUUGGUCACAUACAAUGGUUGGGAUUGAGGAACUCAGC
RNAcentral lists this ribosomal RNA (604 nucleotides) under Cortinarius californicus. RNAcentral's name for it is "eukaryotic LSU rRNA". It matches the Rfam family "Eukaryotic large subunit ribosomal RNA", at positions 1 to 600 of the family's 3401-position model. Lineage: Eukaryota; Fungi; Basidiomycota; Agaricomycetes; Agaricales; Cortinariaceae. The record is from RNAcentral.